UAUGAAUAAGAUUAAAACACUCAUAUAAGUCCAGUAAUAUGGUCUGGAUGUUUCUACCAGGCGACCGUAAAUUGCCUGACUAUGAGUGGAAUUAUUAUACUA
RNAcentral lists this non-coding RNA (102 nucleotides) under Caminicella sporogenes. Its description in RNAcentral is "Guanine sequence". It matches the Rfam family "Purine riboswitch aptamer". Rfam says of the family: Riboswitches are metabolite binding domains within certain messenger RNAs that serve as precision sensors for their corresponding targets. Allosteric rearrangement of mRNA structure is mediated by ligand binding, and this results in modulation of gene expression. Lineage: Bacteria; Bacillati; Bacillota; Clostridia; Peptostreptococcales; Caminicellaceae. The record is from RNAcentral. RNAcentral also lists the same sequence under 1 other name.